This 370-nucleotide ribosomal RNA is filed under the name uncultured Coriobacteriaceae bacterium. RNAcentral describes it as "bacterial SSU rRNA". It matches the Rfam family "Bacterial small subunit ribosomal RNA", at positions 1012 to 1382 of the family's 1533-position model. The record is from RNAcentral. Lineage: Bacteria; Bacillati; Actinomycetota; Coriobacteriia; Coriobacteriales; Coriobacteriaceae.
ACCCGUCGGGUGACGAGGGAGACAGGUGGUGCAUGGUUGUCGUCAGCUCGUGUCGUGAGAUGUUGGGUUAAGUCCCGCAACGAGCGCCAACCCCUGUCCUAUGUUGCCAGCAUUAAGUUGGGGACUCAUAGGAGACUGCCGGCGUCAAGCCGGAGGAAGGUGGGGAUGACGUCAAGUCAUCAUGCCCCUUAUGUCCUGGGCUGCACACGUGCUACAAUGGCCGGUACAAUGGGCUGCGAUGCCGCGAGGCGGAGCGAAUCCCAUAAAACCGGUCCCAGUUCGGAUCGGAGGCUGCAACCCGCCUCCGUGAAGUCGGAGUUGCUAGUAACCGCAGGUCAGCUAUACUGCGGUGAAUACGUUCCCGGGGCUU